RNAcentral lists this ribosomal RNA (347 nucleotides) under uncultured bacterium. RNAcentral describes it as "bacterial SSU rRNA". It matches the Rfam family "Bacterial small subunit ribosomal RNA", at positions 338 to 677 of the family's 1533-position model. The record is from RNAcentral.
CCUACGGGAGGCAGCAGUAGGGAAUCUUGGGCAAUGGGCGAAAGCCUGACCCAGCGAUGCCGCGUAUGCGAAGAAGGCCUUAGGGUUGUAAAGCACUUUCAGUUGUGAAGAAAAGCUGCGAUUUAAUACAUCGUGGUCUUGACGUUAACAACAGAAGAAGUACCGGCUAACUCCGUGCCAGCAGCCGCGGUAAUACGGAGGGUACGAACGUUAAUCGGAAUUACUGGGCGUAAAGCGCGCGUAGGCGGUUUGAUAAGUGGGAUGUGAAAGCCCCGGGCUCAACCUGGGAACUGCAUUCCAAACUGUCAGACUANAGUGUGGUAGAGGGAGGUAGAAUUUCCUGUGUA